AAACAGCAGACUCCGAGCCUGUUCGCCUACAGUCUUCACCGACUAUGGCGGAAGGCCAGGGCCGGGGGAGAAAUCCCCCCGCCUCCCGUGUUUGGAAAGGAGAUUAUGCCGAUGGGCU
RNAcentral lists this non-coding RNA (118 nucleotides) under Bacillota bacterium. RNAcentral describes it as "Firmicutes bacterium MoCo sequence". It matches the Rfam family "Molybdenum/Tungsten riboswitch aptamer (Moco RNA motif)". The record is from RNAcentral. Lineage: Bacteria; Bacillati; Bacillota.